This 910-nucleotide ribosomal RNA is filed under the name uncultured bacterium. RNAcentral describes it as "bacterial SSU rRNA". It matches the Rfam family "Bacterial small subunit ribosomal RNA", at positions 33 to 923 of the family's 1533-position model. The record is from RNAcentral.
ACGCUGGCGGCGUGCCUAAUACAUGCAAGCCGAGCGAAGUUUUUCUGGUGCUUACACUAGAAAAACUUAGCGGCGAACGGGUGAGUAACACGUAAAGAACCUGCCUCAUAGACGGGGACAACUAUUGGAAACGAUAGCUAAUACCGGAUAACAGCAUAAAUCGCAUGAUAUAUGUUUAAAAGUUGGUUUCGGCUAACACUAUGAGAUGGCUUUGCGGUGCAUUAGCUAGUUGGUGGGGUAAAGGCCUACCAAGGCGACGAUGCAUAGCCGACCUGAGAGGGUGAUCGGCCACACUGGGACUGAGACACGGCCCAGACUCCUACGGGAGGCAGCAGUAGGGAAUCUUCCGCAAUGGGCGAAAGCCUGACGGAGCAACGCCGCGUGAGUGAAGAAGGAUUUCGGUUCGUAAAGCUCUGUUGUUAGGGAAGAAUGAUUGUAUAGUAACUAUAUACAGUAGAGACGGUACCUAACCAGAAAGCCACGGCUAACUACGUGCCAGCAGCCGCGGUAAUACGUAGGUGGCAAGCGUUGUCCGGAAUUAUUGGGCGUAAAGCGCGCGCAGGUGGUUUAAUAAGUCUGAUGUGAAAGCCCACGGCUCAACCGUGGAGGGUCAUUGGAAACUGUUAAACUUGAGUGCAGGAGAGAAAAGUGGAAUUCCUAGUGUAGCGGUGAAAUGCGUAGAGAUUAGGAGGAACACCAGUGGCGAAGGCGGCUUUUUGGCCUGUAACUGACACUGAGGCGCGAAAGCGUGGGGAGCAAACAGGAUUAGAUACCCUGGUAGUCCACGCCGUAAACGAUGAGUGCUAAGUGUUGGUCUCAUAAGAGAUCAGUGCUGCAGCUAACGCAUUAAGCACUCCGCCUGGGGAGUACGACCGCAAGGUUGAAACUCAAAGGAAUUGACGGGGACCCG